Molecule: ribosomal RNA, 406 nt
Filed under: uncultured bacterium
Lineage: Bacteria
Description: partial 16S ribosomal RNA
Rfam family: Bacterial small subunit ribosomal RNA
Source: RNAcentral
AUUGAACGCUGGCGGCAGGCCUAACACAUGCAAGUCGAACGAGUGGCGGACGGGUGAGUAAUGUCUGGGAAACUGCCCGAUGGAGGGGGAUAACUACUGGAAACGGUAGCUAAUACCGCAUACCAUCGGAUGUGCCCAGAUGGGGUUAGCUAGUAGGUGGGGUAACGGCUCACCUAGGCGACGAUCCCUAGCUGGUCUGAGAGGAUGACCAGCCCCACUGGAUCGGAGACACGGACCAGACUCCACCGGGAGGCAGCAGUGGGGAAUAUUGCCCAAUGGUCGCAAGCCUGAUGCAGCCAUGCCGCGUGUAUGAAGAAGGCCUUCGGGUUGUAAUGUACUUUCAGCGAGGAGGCGUUACUCGCAGAAGAAGCACCGGCUAACUCCGUGCCAGCAGCCGCGGUAAUAC